RNAcentral lists this ribosomal RNA (2792 nucleotides) under Salmonella enterica subsp. enterica serovar Enteritidis. Its description in RNAcentral is "bacterial LSU rRNA". It matches the Rfam family "Bacterial large subunit ribosomal RNA". Lineage: Bacteria; Pseudomonadati; Pseudomonadota; Gammaproteobacteria; Enterobacterales; Enterobacteriaceae. The record is from RNAcentral.
GGGUUGUGAGGUUAAGCGACUAAGCGUACACGGUGGAUGCCCUGGCAGUCAGAGGCGAUGAAGGGCGUGCUAAUCUGCGAUAAGCGCCGGUAAGGUGAUAUGAACCGUUAUAACCGGCGAUACCCGAAUGGGGAAACCCAGUGUGACUCGUCACACUAUCAUUAACUGAAUCCAUAGGUUAAUGAGGCGAACCGGGGGAACUGAAACAUCUAAGUACCCCGAGGAAAAGAAAUCAACCGAGAUUCCCCCAGUAGCGGCGAGCGAACGGGGAGGAGCCCAGAGCCUGAAUCAGCAUGUGUGUUAGUGGAAGCGUCUGGAAAGGCGCGCGAUACAGGGUGACAGCCCCGUACACAAAAGCGCAUGUGCUGUGAGCUCGAUGAGUAGGGCGGGACACGUGGUAUCCUGUCUGAAUAUGGGGGGACCAUCCUCCAAGGCUAAAUACUCCUGACUGACCGAUAGUGAACCAGUACCGUGAGGGAAAGGCGAAAAGAACCCCGGCGAGGGGAGUGAAAAAGAACCUGAAACCGUGUACGUACAAGCAGUGGGAGCNNNNNNNNNNNNNNNNNNNNNNNNNNNNNNGGGCGUUAAGUUGCAGGGUAUAGACCCGAAACCCGGUGAUCUAGCCAUGGGCAGGUUGAAGGUUGGGUAACACUAACUGGAGGACCGAACCGACUAAUGUUGAAAAAUUAGCGGAUGACCUGUGGCUGGGGGUGAAAGGCCAAUCAAACCGGGAGAUAGCUGGUUCUCCCCGAAAGCUAUUUAGGUAGCGCCUCGUGAAUUCAUCUCCGGGGGUAGAGCACUGUUUCGGCUAGGGGGCCAUCCCGGCUUACCAACCCGAUGCAAACUGCGAAUACCGGAGAAUGUUAUCACGGGAGACACACGGCGGGUGCUAACGUCCGUCGUGAAGAGGGAAACAACCCAGACCGCCAGCUAAGGUCCCAAAGUCAUGGUUAAGUGGGAAACGAUGUGGGAAGGCCCAGACAGCCAGGAUGUUGGCUUAGAAGCAGCCAUCAUUUAAAGAAAGCGUAAUAGCUCACUGGUCGAGUCGGCCUGCGCGGAAGAUGUAACGGGGCUAAACCAUGCACCGAAGCUGCGGCAGCGACNNGCUGGAGGUAUCAGAAGUGCGAAUGCUGACAUAAGUAACGAUAAAGCGGGUGAAAAGCCCGCUCGCCGGAAGACCAAGGGUUCCUGUCCAACGUUAAUCGGGGCAGGGUGAGUCGACCCCUAAGGCGAGGCCGAAAGGCGUAGUCGAUGGGAAACGGGUUAAUAUUCCCGUACUUGGUGUUACUGCGAAGGGGGGACGGAGAAGGCUAUGUUGGCCGGGCGACGGUUGUCCCGGUUUAAGCGUGUAGGUGUGUGUUCCAGGUAAAUCCGGUUCACUUUAACACUGAGGCGUGACGACGAGGCACUACGGUGCUGAAGCAACAAAUGCCCUGCUUCCAGGAAAAGCCUCUAAGCAUCAGGUAACAUCAAAUCGUACCCCAAACCGACACAGGUGGUCAGGUAGAGAAUACCAAGGCGCUUGAGAGAACUCGGGUGAAGGAACUAGGCAAAAUGGUGCCGUAACUUCGGGAGAAGGCACGCUGACACGUAGGUGAAGUGAUUUACUCAUGGAGCUGAAGUCAGUCGAAGAUACCAGCUGGCUGCAACUGUUUAUUAAAAACACAGCACUGUGCAAACACGAAAGUGGACGUAUACGGUGUGACGCCUGCCCGGUGCCGGAAGGUUAAUUGAUGGGGUCAGCGCAAGCGAAGCUCCUGAUCGAAGCCCCGGUAAACGGCGGCCGUAACUAUAACGGUCCUAAGGUAGCGAAAUUCCUUGUCGGGUAAGUUCCGACCUGCACGAAUGGCGUAAUGAUGGCCAGGCUGUCUCCACCCGAGACUCAGUGAAAUUGAACUCGCUGUGAAGAUGCAGUGUACCCGCGGCAAGACGGAAAGACCCCGUGAACCUUUACUAUAGCUUGACACUGAACAUUGAGCCUUGAUGUGUAGGAUAGGUGGGAGGCUUUGAAGUGUGGACGCCAGUCUGCAUGGAGCCGACCUUGAAAUACCACCCUUUAAUGUUUGAUGUUCUAACGUGGACCCGUUACCCGGGUUGCGGACAGUGUCUGGUGGGUAGUUUGACUGGGGCGGUCUCCUCCUAAAGAGUAACGGAGGAGCACGAAGGUUGGCUAAUCCUGGUCGGACAUCAGGAGGUUAGUGCAAUGGCAUAAGCCAGCUUGACUGCGAGCGUGACGGCGCGAGCAGGUGCGAAAGCAGGUCAUAGUGAUCCGGUGGUUCUGAAUGGAAGGGCCAUCGCUCAACGGAUAAAAGGUACUCCGGGGAUAACAGGCUGAUACCGCCCAAGAGUUCAUAUCGACGGCGGUGUUUGGCACCUCGAUGUCGGCUCAUCACAUCCUGGGGCUGAAGUAGGUCCCAAGGGUAUGGCUGUUCGCCAUUUAAAGUGGUACGCGAGCUGGGUUUAGAACGUCGUGAGACAGUUCGGUCCCUAUCUGCCGUGGGCGCUGGAGAACUGAGGGGGGCUGCUCCUAGUACGAGAGGACCGGAGUGGACGCAUCACUGGUGUUCGGGUUGUCAUGCCAAUGGCACUGCCCGGUAGCUAAAUGCGGAAGAGAUAAGUGCUGAAAGCAUCUAAGCACGAAACUUGCCCCGAGAUGAGUUCUCCCUGAGACUUAGAGUCUCCUGAAGGAACGUUGAAGACGACGACGUUGAUAGGCCGGGUGUGUAAGCGCAGCGAUGCGUUGAGCUAACCGGUACUAAUGAACCGUGAGGCUUAACCUUACAACGCCGAAG